GUACACACCGCCCGUCUCACCAUGGGAGUGGGUUUCACCAGAAGUGGGUAGCUUAACCUUUCGGGGAUGGCGCUCACCACGGUGAGAUUCAUGACUGGGGUGAAGUCGUAACAAGGUAGCCGUAGGUGAACCUGCAGAAGGAUCA
Molecule: ribosomal RNA, 145 nt
Filed under: uncultured eukaryote
Lineage: Eukaryota
Description: partial small subunit ribosomal RNA
Rfam family: Bacterial small subunit ribosomal RNA
Source: RNAcentral